UGUUGAGGUAGUUGAGGUAGUUGAGGUAGUUGCUUCCAUCACAGUGGCCUGUGGGCGUGUCUGUCAGGGUGUGUACCUCAUUGAUGGUUGAUGUUAGAGGGUCCAGCACUCAUUGUGGGUGGUGUCACCUCCGGGCAAGCAGUCCUGGGUUGUAGAAGAAAACAAGCUGAACAAAUCAGGUCAUUAAAUCGAGUCCGGCCAUAGUUCUGGCUUCUGUUCCUGCUUGAGUUCCUGUCCUGACUUCCCCCAGUGAUGGACUGUGAUGGGACAGGAGGAAGCAUCUCUCCUGCCGGGUGAACAGGCACUGAUCUAACCGUAGCAGCUGUGGUUAGGAUUCAUCGAACAUAGCAGCAAGACGGAGUGAAGGCAAGCAGGCAACAAUCCCGAAGUUUCUUUCUUCCGUGUCCUUUUAUCUGCUCUCAACCUCUUGAAGAUCGACCCCCUUCUAUGACCAUAGCAACAGACUCUGAGCCGGUGGCUUCCUUCUAACUAAUGAGGGUCCACCCUACAUGGCCACUCGUACCACAAUGCCACAAGAUCACAUUGCUAUCAAGCGGGCUACCUGAGGCUGAACUUUGCCAUCAUAUACCGGGGAAAUGGAGUGUUUGGGAUUUGGAGUAUGAGCUCACCUGACUGCACAAGCCACUCCCGUCUGCUUGGAUCCUCCAUCUAGCAGCCCAGGGAAGGGCUGAGGCUAUGCCUAGGUGUCCCCAGCCUUCCUUUGCAUCCUGAGUCAUUGCCCUAUCCCUGAGCUGCUGUCCUCACCCACCCCCUGACCUGUACUGUGACCUCUACCACCUCCUUUUGCUGUAAGGCAGUCCUCUAAGGCCUUCCAGAGAAUGGGGCUACCAUUAGAGGGCUAGGAGCCGAUCUGCUCAUAUCUGGGACAAGCAUGACUUAGCUACUAGUUCUUCUUCCAAAGUUGCCAUCUUUAAGAUUCUAACGGGCACUCAUCCUCAACUCCAUCAGAGACCUGGUUGCUCCCUAACCCUGAAUGCUGCCAAAGUAUUUGUUUCUUGGGCCUGUCUUCAGGCAGCCAUGCCUGGUUGGCCUUUCCCUGCUCUCAGGUUCCUUCUCAUACUCCAGCUCCCUGCCACCACCUGGGAACCUUCCGUAUUCAUCCUCUUUCUUCUCUUCUGCCUCUUGGACUCCUAUGAAUACAGAAGGGCCCAUGUCCAGAUCUAUUUUUCCUUCUACUCCUGGCAUCAUGGCCUGACUCAGAGCCCGUCUAACACUUCCAGGAAUCUGAGCCCAGCUAGGUGAAUAUGUCAACAUUGGCAUCCAGCUUGCACCCUGCCCACCGGCCCCUCGAUGUACUACACUCCUGUCUUUGAGGAUGAGGGUGUGUGGGCUGAACUGGUUUCCUGUAACUCCUCCCCCACGAUUUUCCAUCUUCAGUUGUGUCCCCACGUCAGCCAGGACUCAAGGGGAGAGAGACACUUGUGCUGUGGAAAUUAGUUCCUGAGUUAACCAACUGGCUUUUCCCCUACAUUCCAAAAUAGUUCCCACUGUGCUUCCCAAUUUUCCCCAGACUUGGAGGUUCAGCAUUCGUGACUGAAUCCUGGUUCUCCAAAUUCCUUCCAUAAUCAAGUAGCCAAAGUCAUUGCCAAAACCUUCUGGCCCUUUGCUUAUGAGAGCUUUAUUUGUUCAAGCAAGAUUUUUUUUUUAGUAUAUAUAUAUUUAUCAUGUUUCCUAUGGGAUGCUGUUUUUAUUUUCACACGGUUGGAAAUGAAGGCGUAAUCAUUAUAAGCAUAUUAUAUAAAAAUGCGGUCAUAUUAAGUAAUAUGUAUUGACCCCUGACUAGGCCUGUACUAUUUUUUUUAAGUAAAGGAAUCUUGAGUGCUAAAACCCUGAAAGGGAGUGGUGGAUGAUGGGAGCUUAUUUUUCCCAGGCUGGCAUUAACUGGCAUGGCCCCCUUUGCCUUGGUUAUUAUUGAAAUAGAACGUUGGUGAGAGACCAUAGCCACUGUUGGCACUUUGUCUAGGCUCCGCCCCACAGUUACCUGGCAACAGCCACGUGUUCCUGACUUACCAUAAAAGUGGCCGUUUGCCUCCCUCCUUAUUCUAGUGCUCUCUUCUCUUCUCUUUUUCCUGCUCUCGGUUCCCAGCGUUCUCUCUCCACGUGUUCAUGGUCAGGCUCUACUCCUCUCCUCCUUCCCCUCCCCCUCCC
Rattus norvegicus (Norway rat) is the source of this 2169-nucleotide non-coding RNA. The record is from RefSeq and is a predicted model, not a curated record. NCBI's taxonomy places the organism in Eukaryota, Metazoa, Chordata, Mammalia, Rodentia, Muridae.